AACGAACGCUGGCGGCAGGCCUAACACAUGCAAGUCGAACGCCGUAGCAAUACGGAGUGGCAGACGGGUGAGUAACGCGUGGGAACAUACCCCUCGGUUCGGAAUAACUCAGGGAAACUUGAGCUAAUACCGGAUACGUCCGAGGUUUUAAUCGGCCUUGGAGAAAGAUUUAUCGCCGGAGGAUUGGCCCGCGUCUGAUUAGCUUGUUGGUGAGGUAAUGGCUCACCAAGGCGACGANCAGUAGCUGGUCUGAGAGGAUGAUCAGCCACAUUGGGACUGAGACACGGCCCAAACUCCUACGGGAGGCAGCAGUGGGGAAUAUUGGACAAUGGGCGAAAGCCUGAUCCAGCCAUGCCGCGUGAGUGAUGAAGGCCUUAGGGUUGUAAAGCUCUUUACCCGGGAAGAUAAUGACGAUACCGGGAGAAUAAGCCCCGGCUAACUUCGUGCCAGCAGCAG
RNAcentral lists this ribosomal RNA (456 nucleotides) under uncultured bacterium. Its description in RNAcentral is "bacterial SSU rRNA". It matches the Rfam family "Bacterial small subunit ribosomal RNA", at positions 29 to 517 of the family's 1533-position model. The record is from RNAcentral.